Molecule: non-coding RNA, 353 nt
Organism: Chelonoidis abingdonii (Abingdon island giant tortoise)
Lineage: Eukaryota; Metazoa; Chordata; Testudines; Testudinidae
Source: RefSeq, a predicted model, not a curated record
ACUGAACAGUGCUGUAUUGCUAAUACAAGACUUCUGUCGUUAUGGGAGCAACAUAUGGAUGAGGCCUUUUUUCUUGACAUACCAGAUGCCGCACUAGAAGCUUUAAAUUUUGACUUAUCAAGCGUUAUUCCUCAAGAAGAAAUGUUGAAGGGGAGCACGCUUAAAGGGGCCAAAAAAAUUUCCUUCAGAGGCAGCAGCCGUUGGAAGCAAGGGUAUUAAACCACGUUUGAACAGCCCUGCACGUCCAAAUCCCUUAUUACACAAGGCAAGCAACCUUAAAGAGGGCAAAAAAUUAUUCUCUGAGGCAGCAGCGUUGAAAGCAAGGGUAUUAAAUCCAUUGAUUUUGAACAACC